UCUAAGGAUGAGUGAAAGUAAAAUUUCACUCUAAAUAAUAUACAUCGGUAAUGUUGACCGUCCUCAUUUCUCUUCUUAAAGUAAUGUUUCCUUCUUGUAGGGCCGGUAGCUCAGUUGGUUAGAGCACACCCUUGAUAAGGGUGGGGUCGAAAGUUCGAGUCUUUCUCGGCCCACCAAUAACUCAAUGGGGGAUUAGCUCAUCUGGGAGAGCGCCUGAUUUGCAUUCAGGAGGUAGCAGGUUCGAUCCCUGUAUCCUCCACCAGGAAACAUUUAGUUAUUAAAACUGUAAAUAAAAAUAAUUUAUAUCAAUAUCUAUAUCCGAACAUUAAAAGUUAUUAUUUAAUGUUCAAAAUAAAAAUUUGAUCACAACACAAAUUAAAUUUCUUUAAAAAGAAUUUUUUUCUGUGCAUAAAU
RNAcentral lists this transfer RNA (414 nucleotides) under uncultured marine alpha proteobacterium. RNAcentral's name for it is "16S-23S intergenic spacer region". The stretch from base 100 to 173 matches the Rfam family "tRNA". Lineage: Bacteria; Pseudomonadati; Pseudomonadota; Alphaproteobacteria. The record is from RNAcentral.